RNAcentral lists this unclassified non-coding RNA (250 nucleotides) under Hevea brasiliensis (rubber tree). Lineage: Eukaryota; Viridiplantae; Streptophyta; Magnoliopsida; Malpighiales; Euphorbiaceae. The record is from RNAcentral.
GAAGGAGAGAUUUUUCAUUCAACCACUUGAACCAGCUCAGGCAGCAGCAAGGGCCAAGGAAUCAGCUAAGGACAUUGUGAGUGUGAAGCCUCUCAUAGACAAGAAGGCUUGGCCCUAUGUCCAGAAUGAUCUUCGCCUUAAGGCUGAAUUGCUCCGCUAUGAUCUCAACACUGUUAUCUCUGCUAAAUCCAAAGAGGAGAAGAAAUUUCUCAAGGAACUCACUGGAAAGCUCUUUCAAUCCAUCAGCGAC